CCGGAGUGAGUUUAAUGCCGCACACACAUCGGCACAUGCGUCUGGGUGCUCUGUCCAAUUCGGCUGGAUGGGGUUGGUGCAUGGGAUGUGUGGAGGAGUAAC
This 102-nucleotide small RNA is filed under the name Microbulbifer thermotolerans. Its description in RNAcentral is "t44 RNA". It matches the Rfam family "t44 RNA". From Rfam's summary of the family: This family consists of a number of bacterial RNA genes of between 135 and 170 bases in length. The t44 gene is found between the map and rpsB genes in all species in the full alignment apart from Shigella flexneri. The record is from Rfam by way of RNAcentral. Lineage: Bacteria; Pseudomonadati; Pseudomonadota; Gammaproteobacteria; Cellvibrionales; Microbulbiferaceae.